GUGGGGAAUAUUGGACAAUGGGGGGAACCCUGAUCCAACCAUGCCGCGUGUGUGAAGAAGGCCUUUUGGUUGUAAAGCACUUUAAGCGAGGAGGAGGCUACCGAGAUUAAUACUCUUGGAUAGUGGACGUUACUCGCAGAAUAAGCACCGGCUAACUCUGUGCCAGCAGCCGCGGUAAUACAGAGGGUGCAAGCGUUAAUCGGAUUUACUGGGCGUAAAGCGCGCGUAGGUGGCCAAUUAAGUCAAAUGUGAAAUCCCCGAGCUUAACUUGGGAAUUGCAUUCGAUACUGGUUGGCUAGAGUAUGGGAGAGGAUGGUAGAAUUCCAGGUGUAGCGGUGAAAUGCGUAGAGAUCUGGAGGAAUACCGAUGGCGAAGGCAGCCAUCUGGCCUAAUACUGACACUGAGGUGCGAAAGCAUGGGGAGCAAACAGGAUUAGAUACCCUUGUAGUCC
This 451-nucleotide ribosomal RNA is filed under the name uncultured bacterium. Its description in RNAcentral is "partial 16S ribosomal RNA". It matches the Rfam family "Bacterial small subunit ribosomal RNA", at positions 354 to 796 of the family's 1533-position model. The record is from RNAcentral.